UGCGAGGGCAUACAGUCCUCGCUUUUCUGUACCGUAGGGUGGUACAGGAACAAGUGCUGGGCAAGACCGGUGCCAGCCGCCGCGGUAAUACCGGCAGCACGAGUGAUGGCCGAUAUUAUUGGGCCUAAAGCGUUCGUAGCUGGCCGGACAAGUCCGUUGGGAAAUCCACGUGCCUAACACGUGGGCGUCCAGCGGAAACUGUCCGGCUUGGGGCCGGAAGACCCGAGGGGUACGUCCGGGGUAGGAGUGAAAUCCUGUAAUCCUGGACGGACCGCCGGUGGCGAAAGCGCCUCGGGAGGACGGACCCGACAGUGAGGGACGAAAGCCAGGGUCUCGAACCGGAUU
Molecule: ribosomal RNA, 345 nt
Filed under: uncultured archaeon
Lineage: Archaea
Description: bacterial SSU rRNA
Rfam family: Archaeal small subunit ribosomal RNA
Source: RNAcentral